This 1500-nucleotide ribosomal RNA is filed under the name uncultured bacterium. Its description in RNAcentral is "16S ribosomal RNA". It matches the Rfam family "Bacterial small subunit ribosomal RNA". The record is from RNAcentral.
GUUUGAUCAUGGCUCAGAUUGAACGCUGGCGGAAUGCUUUACACAUGCAAGUCGAACGGCAGCACGAGAGCUUGCUCUUGGUGGCGAGUGGCGAACGGGUGAGUAAUAUAUCGGAACGUAUCCAAUAAUGGGGGAUAACUAAUCGAAAGGUUGGCUAAUACCGCAUACGCCCUACGGGGGAAAGCAGGGGAUCUUCGGACCUUGCGUUAAUGGAGCGGCUGAUAUCUGAUUAGCUAGUAGGUGAGGUAAAGGCUCACCUAGGCUUCGAUCAGUAGCUGGUCUGAGAGGACGACCAGCCACACUGGAACUGAGACACGGUCCAGACUCCUACGGGAGGCAGCAGUGGGGAAUUUUGGACAAUGGGGGCAACCCUGAUCCAGCCAUUCCGCGUGAGUGAAGAAGGCCUUCGGGUUGUAAAGCUCUUUCGCAAGGGAAGAAACGUUACGAGCGAAUAACUCGUGAUAAUGACGGUACCUUGAUAAGAAGCACCGGCUAACUACGUGCCAGCAGCCGCGGUAAUACGUAGGGUGCGAGCGUUAAUCCGAAUUACUGGGCGUAAAGCGUGCGCAGGCGGUUUUGUAAGUCAGAUGUGAAAUCCCCGAGCUCAACUUGGGAACUGCGUUUGAAACUACAAGGCUAGAGUAUGGUAGAGGGGGGUAGAAUUCCACGUGUAGCAGUGAAAUGCGUAGAGAUGUGGAGGAAUACCAAUGGCGAAGGCAGCCCCCUGGACUAAUACUGACGCUCAUGCACGAAAGCGUGGGGAGCAAACAGGAUUAGAUACCCUGGUAGUCCACGCCCUAAACGAUGUCUACUAGUUGUUGGGAGAGUAAAAUCUCUUAGUAACGCAGCUAACGCGUGAAGUAGACCGCCUGGGGAGUACGGUCGCAAGAUUAAAACUCAAAGGAAUUGACGGGGGCCCGCACAAGCGGUGGAUUAUGUGGAUUAAUUCGAUGCAACGCGAAAAACCUUACCUGGCCUUGACAUGUACCGAAUUUAGCAGAGAUGCUUUAGUGCUCGAAAGAGAACGGUAACACAGGUGCUGCAUGGCUGUCGUCAGCUCGUGUCGUGAGAUGUUGGGUUAAGUCCCGCAACGAGCGCAACCCUUGUCAUUAGUUGCUACAUUUAGUUGGGCACUCUAAUGAGACUGCCGGUGACAAACCGGAGGAAGGUGGGGAUGACGUCAAGUCCUCAUGGCCCUUAUAGGUGGGGCUACACACGUCAUACAAUGGCUGGUACAAAGGGUUGCCAACCCGCGAGGGGGAGCUAAUCCCAUAAAACCAGUCGUAGUCCGGAUCGCAGUCUGCAACUCGACUGCGUGAAGUCGGAAUCGCUAGUAAUCGUGGAUCAGAAUGUCACGGUGAAUACGUUCCCGGGUCUUGUACACACCGCCCGUCACACCAUGGGAGCGGGUUCUGCCAGAAGUAGUUAGCCUAACCGCAAGGAGGGCGAUUACCACGGCAGGGUUCGUGACUGGGGUGAAGUCGUAACAAGGUAACCGUA